GGGUCAUAAGGUUGGUCGUGCCACCGGUACGUACUGGUCUCACUGAUUCCUCCUUCCUGAAGAACCGUAAUGCCAUUAAAUUGGUGUUGCGGGGAAACAGGACUGUUACUUUGAAAAAAUUAGAGUGUUUAAAGCAAGCUAACGCUUGAAUACAUUAGCAUGGAAUAAUGAAAUAGGACGAUCGAUCCUAUUUUGUUGGUUUCUAGGAUUGACGUA
This 216-nucleotide ribosomal RNA is filed under the name Glomeromycotina sp. Its description in RNAcentral is "partial small subunit ribosomal RNA". The stretch from base 40 to 216 matches the Rfam family "Eukaryotic small subunit ribosomal RNA", at positions 686 to 864 of the family's 1831-position model. The record is from RNAcentral. Lineage: Eukaryota; Fungi; Glomeromycota.